GGGGAACUAUUUGGCCUAUUCUUGUAAAGUAAUUGGCCAGUCAACUGAAUGACAGUAUGUUGUAUCAACUAGGACUACAGUUUGGAAGUGCUUAACUAAUUAUCACAUCCAUCACCUUCUAACAAUGUAGCACUCAUUACUGGAUAUACAGCAUCUGGAGGUGAUGAAGCUAACAGCACAACUUCUUUAUGAUGAAUGUAUCACAGACUUCACAGGUUCACUCCUUUGGGUGAUAGCCAGUUCAAGAAUCCAUCAUUGGGUUCACAAGCAGAUGGAUUGCAAUGUGUGUAAAAUGUAAACUUUGUACAAUUGCCAUUGUAAACUGACAUGGCUCUAUUUUUGUGGCAGCCCGACAUGUUGCACAGAAAAAGCUCUGAAUGGUUUUUUUGGGUUUUUAUUUAUUUAUUUAUUUUUGCCUCUUUUUAGAGGAUGUCUCAGAAUUCUGAAUAUGUUUUUCUCUGGCUAAUGUGUAUUUUUUCCAACCAGAAUAAGCUAAAUAUUCAUAGCAAUGCACAACAUUAAUUAAAAUAUUUCAAAUGUAAAUAAGUCAUUUUCACUAAUCUCUCCCUAGACGGUACAAAUAAUUGAGCAGGCAUAAAAAUGCCUUUGUGCUUGUAGUUGGAAUGUCUUUAACAUUGUCCAUAUUUAAUGAAUUUCUGUCAUCAUUCUACAAGCAAAACCAAACCCUCUGCCUCUGAUGGUAGACUAAGGUGCUAAUGUUACUCCAUUAUGGACCAUUCAGACAAUAGAUUCUUGUUCUGCAGAAAGAACUUUCUAUAUGUCGAGCUAUAUUAAAGUAUUUAUUUUCUAAUUUGUUCAUGGCUAUAUCCCCUAAUUUAUAUUCUGCAUGGCCUUUUUAGACUUAAACAACCAAAAUAGCAGGUGCACAUACGCCUGGGCGCAGUUAAAGGCCAUGUGCACAUAAGGCCUAUUGCUUUGCAAUUGUUGUUGCCCUUGUGUGACUGGAAUUGAGCCUGUGUUAAUCCACCUGUGACAGGCCAGGUUCUUCUCCUAUUGCCUGUGUGGAUGAGUGUGUGAGCUCUUUCUUUUGCAGGUUUUUGGUUGGAUAGAGCAGGGCUGCAAUCACAGGACUCAAAACAGCUGCUUUAUAUUCACCAUUCAGGCUGUGCUUCAAGUUACUGCCUGUUUUUUAUUUUAUUUUAUUUUUUUAUAUAUUUUGAUUUGAUUUCCAAUUGCUAUUGCUGACCUUUUCUAAUCCCUGUAUAUGCACUUACUUGACUGGAGUCAUCCCAAAUUAUGGGUAAUCCAAUAUUUUCUGGUAAGCCACUAAAUAUUUUCUUUGUUAACAUGUUAAUUGUGGUUUUGUUCAAAUUUAGGAACAAAUCCUGAAUACAUGAAAAAAGAAAGAUUUAAUUACAGGUGGAAAAAGCAAACAAAAAAAUCAAAGCACCAUCCACAAAAAGGAUUCCCAAACUGCAGAAGAAAAGAAAGUGGGGAAACACUUAAUAACGGAGGUAAGACAAUGGGU
Long non-coding RNA from Astatotilapia calliptera (eastern happy), 1489 nucleotides. Lineage: Eukaryota; Metazoa; Chordata; Actinopteri; Cichliformes; Cichlidae. The record is from Ensembl.